CCGUGUCCUCAUCCCCAUCCAAGCCCUGCGUGUGUGCGCGGCAGGUGACUCAGCAACAGAUGACAACGGCCAGCAACGGACCGUAACGCCCAGCAACGGAUGAUGACGGCCAGCAACGGGCAACAAGGGAUGAUAACGGAUCACAACGGCCAGCAACGGACGGAUGAUAACGGCCAGCAACAGGCAACCCGGAUAAUAACGGAUAGCAACGGCCAGCAAAGGAUCGUAACGGCCAGCAACGGGCAACAACGGAUGAUAACGGCAGGAUCAAGUUUCGGGCAAGGGGGGAUUUAAAUUGCAGAAAACAUGUCGUUUGUGGGCCGGGAGGGGGCCGGGAGAUUUCGUGCAUGUAGGGGUGUCUGUGUGGCGGGAAAGACUGCUAAGGCUGCUCCGGAAUCAAAAAACAGCACGUGGAAUGCAGGAUGAUUUGGCGGCUUCAUUGCACUGUUACAUCAAUCAAUCAAAAGCAGGACACGUUUAUCCUUUAGAGAUGGUGAAGUUUUACGCUUAGUGAUGUUAGCUCCUUCAAUAUUUCUGUAAGACUUUUGGAUGACAAUGUCAACGAAGUCGAAGAUAACAAAGUCGAACGGCAUUUCAUGGCUAGGACAACCGUAAACGAACUGGCUAGAAAUAACCUUUUUCCCUAACGGAGAGUUCGGUAAUAGAAAGUUGACUUCAGCCACGUCUUUUUUCUAAAACCAAGUAGCUGUCCUAGAUCGCUCGCCGCAACUGGACGAGGAUUGUCCGUUGAGAACAGUGGAAUCCUCGUGAGGUUGGCUUCAUUGCUGUUGCAUCCCUUCCUAAGACGCAACAGCAAUGAAGCCAAACAAAUACAGCAAGCAGAUAAAACGGCCGAGGCGACGGCACCUGGCGACUGAGUGCAUCAGUCAUCGGACAUGUUAAAGCUCGGCCUCCGGGCCUCAGCUGCGCCACCUUAAUCCGUUCGCAACUAUAUGUGAUGCCCCUUUUGGUACGGUUUAGCUCCUUGCGAGGUGGCAGCCAAUCCCAGCAUACCUCCGGCAGCGCAGCGCCGGCCAAGGCGCCAAUGUCCCGCCAAGACACUCGGGAAAGCGUCCGGAGCUUGCUAGCUCCAUCCUUCAAUAGAAUGCCUACAAUAUUACACAAAAUUUCGGCCGGUUUUAUGGAAAGUUCCACCCGCACGUCACGAGUAGCACUGACAGGCAAUCUUAAAACAGUCAACG
RNAcentral lists this long non-coding RNA (1202 nucleotides) under Volvox carteri. Its description in RNAcentral is "long non-coding RNA (VCAR_LNC001925)". The record is from RNAcentral. Lineage: Eukaryota; Viridiplantae; Chlorophyta; Chlorophyceae; Chlamydomonadales; Volvocaceae.